RNAcentral lists this ribosomal RNA (253 nucleotides) under uncultured bacterium. RNAcentral's name for it is "partial 16S ribosomal RNA". It matches the Rfam family "Bacterial small subunit ribosomal RNA", at positions 524 to 776 of the family's 1533-position model. The record is from RNAcentral.
UACGUAGGGUGCAAGCGUUGUCCGGAAUUAUUGGGCGUAAAGAGCUCGUAGGCGGUUUGUCGCGUCUGCUGUGAAAAUCCAGGGCUUAACCCUGGACCUGCAGUGGGUACGGGCAGACUGGAGUGCGGUAGGGGAGAUCGGAAUUCCUGGUGUAGCGGUGAAAUGCGCAGAUAUCAGGAGGAACACCGGUGGCGAAGGCGGAUCUCUGGGCCGUAACUGACGCUGAGGAGCGAAAGCGUGGGGAGCAAACAGG